This 624-nucleotide ribosomal RNA is filed under the name uncultured Bacillus sp. RNAcentral's name for it is "bacterial SSU rRNA". It matches the Rfam family "Bacterial small subunit ribosomal RNA", at positions 57 to 661 of the family's 1533-position model. Lineage: Bacteria; Bacillati; Bacillota; Bacilli; Caryophanales; Bacillaceae. The record is from RNAcentral.
GCAGUCGAGCGAAUGGAUUAGAGAGCUUGCUCUCAUGAAGUUAGCGGCGGACGGGUGAGUAACACGUGGGUAACCUGCCCAUAAGACUGGGAUAACUCCGGGAAACCGGGGCUAAUACCGGAUAACAUUUUGAACUGCAUGGUUCGAAAUUGAAAGGCGGCUUCGGCUGUCACUUAUGGAUGGACCCGCGUCGCAUUAGCUAGUUGGUGAGGUAACGGCUCACCAAGGCAACGAUGCGUAGCCGACCUGAGAGGGUGAUCGGCCACACUGGGACUGAGACACGGCCCAGACUCCUACGGGAGGCAGCAGUAGGGAAUCUUCCGCAAUGGACGAAAGUCUGACGGAGCAACGCCGCGUGAGUGAUGAAGGCUUUCGGGUCGUAAAACUCUGUUGUUAGGGAAGAACAAGUGCUAGUUGAAUAAGCUGGCACCUUGACGGUACCUAACCAGAAAGCCACGGCUAACUACGUGCCAGCAGCCGCGGUAAUACGUAGGUGGCAAGCGUUAUCCGGAAUUAUUGGGCGUAAAGCGCGCGCAGGUGGUUUCUUAAGUCUGAUGUGAAAGCCCACGGCUCAACCGUGGAGGGUCAUUGGAAACUGGGAGACUUGAGUGCAGAAGAGGAAAG